AUUGAACGCUGGCGGCAGGCUUAACACAUGCAAGUCGAGCGGGGAAAAGUAGCUUGCUACUUAACUUAGCGGCGGACGGGUGAGUAAUACUUAGGAAUCUACCUAAUAGUGGGGGACAACAUCUCGAAAGGGAUGCUAAUACCGCAUACGCCCUACGGGGGAAAGCAGGGGAUCUUCGGACCUUGCGCUAAUAGAUGAGCCUAAGUCGGAUUAGCUAGUUGGUGGGGUAAAGGCCUACCAAGGCGACGAUCUGUAGCGGGUCUGAGAGGAUGAUCCGCCACACUGGGACUGAGACACGGCCCAGACUCCUACGGGAGGCAGCAGUGGGGAAUAUUGGACAAUGGGGGGAACCCUGAUCCAGCCAUGCCGCGUGUGUGAAGAAGGCCUUUUGGUUGUAAAGCACUUUAAGCGAGGAGGAGGCUCCCAGUAUUAAUACUACUGGAGAGUGGACGUUACUCGCAGAAUAAGCACCGGCUAACUCUGUGCCAGCAGCCGCGGUAAUACAGAGGGUGCAAGCGUUAAUCGGAUUUACUGGGCGUAAAGCGUGCGUAGGUGGCCAAUUAGGUCAAAUGUGAAAUCCCCGAGCUUAACUUGGGAAUUGCAUUCGAUACUGGUUGGCUAGAGUAUGGGAGAGGAUGGUAGAAUUCCAGGU
Molecule: ribosomal RNA, 652 nt
Filed under: uncultured Acinetobacter sp.
Lineage: Bacteria; Pseudomonadati; Pseudomonadota; Gammaproteobacteria; Moraxellales; Moraxellaceae
Description: bacterial SSU rRNA
Rfam family: Bacterial small subunit ribosomal RNA
Source: RNAcentral